CAGCCGCCACGGGAAUACGGAGGGGGCUAGCGUUGUUCGGAAUUACUGGGCGUAAAGCGCACGUAGGCGGCUUGGUAAGUUAGAGGUGAAAGCCUGGAGCUCAACUCCAGAAUUGCCUUUAAGACUGCCGAGCUAGCAGGUGAGAGGUAAGUGGAAUUCCGAGUGUAGAGGUGAAAUUCGUAGAUAUUCGGAAGAACACCAGUGGCGAAGGCGGCUUACUGGCUCAUACUGGACGCUGAGGUACGAAAGCGUGGGGAGCAAACAGGAUUAGAUACCCGUGUAGUCCCUGUCUCUUAUACAC
This 301-nucleotide ribosomal RNA is filed under the name uncultured bacterium. Its description in RNAcentral is "partial 16S ribosomal RNA". It matches the Rfam family "Bacterial small subunit ribosomal RNA", at positions 509 to 809 of the family's 1533-position model. The record is from RNAcentral.